This 297-nucleotide ribosomal RNA is filed under the name uncultured bacterium. RNAcentral's name for it is "partial 16S ribosomal RNA". It matches the Rfam family "Bacterial small subunit ribosomal RNA", at positions 338 to 652 of the family's 1533-position model. The record is from RNAcentral.
CCUACGGGGCGCAGCAGUGGGGGAUAUUGCACAAUGGGGGGAACCCUGAUGCAGCGACGCCGCGUGGGUGAAGGAGCGUUUCGGCGCGUAAAGCCCUAUCGGCAGGGAAGAAGAUGACGGUACCUGACCAAGAAGCCCCGGCUAACUACGUGCCAGCAGCCGCGGUAAUACGUAGGGGGCAAGCGUUAUCCGGAUUUACUGGGUGUAAAGGGAGCGUAGACGGCAUUACAAGUCCGGAGUGAAAGCCCACGGCCCAACCGGGGGACUGCUCUGGAAACUGUAGAGCUGGAGUGCGGG